GUUAAGUGAUGACAUGACAAGCGAAGUAUCACGUUAUCACCCUCUUGUCAUAUUAUCACCUUUAAUGACAUACGUGUCAAUGAUUGAACGUGAUGAUGUGAUAUUCUGUUUGUCAUGUUAUCACCUAA
Molecule: microRNA precursor, 128 nt
Filed under: Glycine max (soybean)
Lineage: Eukaryota; Viridiplantae; Streptophyta; Magnoliopsida; Fabales; Fabaceae
Description: miR4371a stem-loop (gma-MIR4371a)
Source: miRBase by way of RNAcentral